This 109-nucleotide ribosomal RNA is filed under the name Bacilli bacterium. Lineage: Bacteria; Bacillati; Bacillota; Bacilli. The record is from RNAcentral.
UGAUGAUUGAUUAGUGGAUCCACCUAGUUCCAUGCCGAACCUAGAAGUUAAGCACUAAAACGCCGAAAAUAGUAUGAUUCGAUCAUGCAAAGAUAGGGGAUUGCCAAUU